RNAcentral lists this unclassified non-coding RNA (253 nucleotides) under uncultured Verrucomicrobiota bacterium. RNAcentral describes it as "uncultured Verrucomicrobia bacterium contains 16S-23S intergenic spacer region". It matches the Rfam family "Bacterial small subunit ribosomal RNA", at positions 524 to 776 of the family's 1533-position model. The record is from RNAcentral. Lineage: Bacteria; Pseudomonadati; Verrucomicrobiota.
UACGAAGGUCCCAAGCGUUGUUCGGAAUUACUGGGCGUAAAGCGUCUGUAGGCGGCGCGGUAAGUCAGUUGUGAAAUCCCGGGGCUCAACCUCGGAACUGCAGCCGAUACUGCCGCGCUAGAGGGUCGGAGGGGAGUCUGGAAUUCUCGGUGUAGCAGUGGAAUGCGUAGAUAUCGAGAGGAACACUGGUGGCGAAGGAGAGACUCUGGACGACACCUGACGCUGAGAGACGAAGGCCAGGGUAGCGAAAAGG